CCGAAAGGCAGGAGUGCCUGCAAGGGAGCGCGGAGACAGGUGGUGCAUGGCUGUCGUCAGCUCGUGUCGUGAGAUGUUGGGUUAAGUCCCGCAACGAGCGCAACCCUCACCUCUUGUUGCCAUCAGGUCAUGCUGGGCACUCUAGAGGAACUGCCCCGGUCAAUGGGGAGGAAGGCGGGGAUGACGUCAAGUCAUCAUGCCCCUUACGUCCUGGGCUACACACGUGCUACAAUGGCCGGUACAAAGGGAUGCCACACCGCGAGAUAGAGCUAAACCCAAAAAGCCGGUCUAGGUUCGGAUUGGAGUCUGCAACUCGACUCCAUGAAGGAGGAAUCGCUAGUAAUCGCGUAUCAGCACGACGCGGUGAAUACGUUCCCGGGCCUUGUACACACCGCCCGCCACACCACGAAAGCCAG
This 416-nucleotide ribosomal RNA is filed under the name uncultured bacterium. RNAcentral's name for it is "bacterial SSU rRNA". It matches the Rfam family "Bacterial small subunit ribosomal RNA", at positions 1001 to 1414 of the family's 1533-position model. The record is from RNAcentral.